Non-coding RNA from Caenorhabditis elegans, 203 nucleotides. The record is from Ensembl. NCBI's taxonomy places the organism in Eukaryota, Metazoa, Nematoda, Chromadorea, Rhabditida, Rhabditidae.
ACAAUCGUCUGUCUUCUUUGUCAUCGGCUUCUUCUUUUGCAUGCACACAUCAAUAUUAUCUAUGCAAACCGGCUGCCAACAAGGCAUAAAAAGGGCAGAUGUAUUCUUUCGGCUUCCGUUUUUAUUCAUCAUAAACGCUCGCCUGAACGUAUGCAAAUUUGGCGGUUCCUUCCCCUUAUCGAAGAAUACACAAGAGGGAACAC